UGCCGCACCGGCCUUCUGGCUCUCGUCGUCUUCGUUGCCAUCCAGGUGCAUUCGAAUCCUGGUUCGAUCCGUCCCGUAGCAGCUCGUGAUACAUGCCCCCUCCGUCAGAUCCGCUGCGCCCCUUCCCUAUCGCGCUCAAAUGCGCCAUUGGGGCCUCGAACUCCAGCCCGGGAGCUGUCCCGGAUGCUGCAAGGUUAUGGAGUUUGGCAGUUCUCAUUGAUACAGAAAUACGGAUUCUAGUUCUACUCUAAAGGCUUAUGGAAAGUCAGAUAAUGAUAGUGGCCAACAUGACACCACUGCACAUUACCAGGAGGAAGAGGACCUGACCUGUAUCUGUAAUUCUGUAUGCAUCGCUUGUGAAGUGUGCAAGACAAAACCAAGCAGCUAUUGGGAAUGCACAGAUGGAUAGUGAAGUUAGUUUGAGGAACUUUAGUUUUGCAUCUCAGGAAAGUUGCCAUUUCAGUUCCUGUUGAUCUGGCAUUGAAGGAUAAGUUAUUAGUCAUCCUCAUUUCCUAUGCAGUGAUCUAGGGGGGAAGAAAAGGCAAUGUGGAAUGUUCAGAUCUUGUGUUCAGUGUUCUGUACAACUCUGGUGAAGCAUCAACAGGAUUGCAAGUUGUGCUGCAGUCUAUGGUACCGUAUAUCAGGGCACCUUGUACUUCCUGCAUAUGCAGCAGAAGACUGAUUAUUAUUUUCGUGAUGGUGUGAUGGAGGAGUAUUUGGUGGAGCUGCUUUGAAGGAAGAAGAAGAUCCAGCUUGAGGAUUGGUCACUCAACCACUAUGCAAUGUUUGUUUUCAGUCAGUGUCCUUGCAGCCUGGAGAGUUGUCAGAUCUGAUCAACUAUGACACAUGCCAACAAGCCACAUAAGCAUAGCUCCUUUUGGUCACUGGUUGACUUAAUUUGCAGCUAUGACAAUGUGGUUUAUCAGUCAUCCACCUUGCCUGCUGCUGUCCAUGUGGAGAACAUUGACAAAAUUUUAAGUGCCUAUGGAAAUGAGAAUAUGAAAUAUAGGAAGCUCAGGUAUCUGUCUAUGUUUAACCACCUAAGGUUCUACAUGCAUGCCACAAACCCAGAUCCAGCAGCAGAAGAUAUGGUUUACUGAUUUGAAGCUGGACAGAAGGAUUUUAUGCCACUUUGGUGCUCCAAUGAAAGUUUCCAUUGCGAUUCCCUUAUCUCAACUUCUCACACCAAAAGAUCUUAGAGAACUUUGAUCCAUGUGCUUUCGGAUCGGGUUUUGCAAUUGGCAUGGUUGUAUAAAGGAGAGCAGGUAGCGAAAAAUCGCUGGAAUGUACCAAUGUUGGCAGGAUUUGGUAAGUAGUGUGACAAUAAAACUGUGGCUGAUUGUAUUGUUCAAAUUCAUGUGCCCACUACGUAUCUUCUGUCUGUGGAAGAUCAUACUACACAUAGCUGCUUAAGUUCCUUUUGGUGGUUCUGCUUACUAAGAGAAGAUCUAUUUGCAGAAUGUGAAAAUUAGGCAGCUUGCAUCCAGUACUAAUUACUUUCUACAACCUGACAUGCCUUGUGCUUGCCAUGUCUUGGGGCCUUGGCUAUGAUACAGCUGUUGACAUUUCUGGGAUUUAGAAACAGCAACAGCUCAUUACAAUCUGGAUUACAAUCCCUGGCUGGAUCUUCCGAUUUUGAAGUACAGCUGCUACUGGUCUAAGUAUGUGGAUGUUGAUAAGUCGCAAGUUUCAAGACUGCUGCUUGGGCAAGCAAUGACAUUUACAUUAUAUAUUCUUCAUCAAAUUUUGUUUUUAAUAUGUUUCUUUAAUCUUUAAUCAUGAUUUGUUCACUACUAGGAAACUUUGCCAGAGUAGACUGAGCAGUUUUUCUUUAUCUUGUCAUGCUUAUGCUUAGUAGUCCAGCUAUUCCUCAUAUAUCAAUUGUCUUCUGUAAGUAAUUGCACCCCGCAGACUUGCAGAAUAGUAACAAUUCUUUUGUUCUCUCGAGAAUACACUUGUAUGUUUUAUGAAUAGACAAAAGAGUAAACCUUCA
Setaria italica (foxtail millet) is the source of this 1993-nucleotide long non-coding RNA. RefSeq lists it as uncharacterized. NCBI's taxonomy places the organism in Eukaryota, Viridiplantae, Streptophyta, Magnoliopsida, Poales, Poaceae. The transcript has 2 exons. The record is from RefSeq and is a predicted model, not a curated record.